AGAGUUUGAUCCUGGCUCAGAACGAACGCUGGCGGCAGGCUUAACACAUGCAAGUCGAGCGCCCCGCAAGGGGAGCGGCAGACGGGUGAGUAACGCGUGGGAAUCUACCCAUCUCUACGGAAUAACGCAUGGAAACGUGUGCUAAUACCGUAUACGUCCUUCGGGAGAAAGAUUUAUCGGAGAUGGAUGAGCCCGCGUUGGAUUAGCUAGUUGGUGGGGUAAAGGCCUACCAAGGCGACGAUCCAUAGCUGGUCUGAGAGGAUGAUCAGCCACACUGGGACUGAGACACGGCCCAGACUCCUACGGGAGGCAGCAGUGGGGAAUAUUGGACAAUGGGCGCAAGCCUGAUCCAGCCAUGCCUCAUGAGUGAUGAAGGCCCUAGGGUUGUAAAGCUCUUUCACCGG
Molecule: ribosomal RNA, 404 nt
Filed under: uncultured bacterium
Lineage: Bacteria
Description: bacterial SSU rRNA
Rfam family: Bacterial small subunit ribosomal RNA
Source: RNAcentral